Molecule: long non-coding RNA, 5854 nt
Organism: Gorilla gorilla gorilla (western lowland gorilla)
Lineage: Eukaryota; Metazoa; Chordata; Mammalia; Primates; Hominidae
Exons: 3
Source: RefSeq, a predicted model, not a curated record
GCGUUUAUAUGUGCUGUUCUAAAUACUGGGGUCUGUUCUUCCGAGCAGAAAAGAAUGAGAGAAUGGAUAUUGGGAAGCAAGAGCAGCCUCUGCUCCAGCUAGAGAGGGGCAGAAAGACCCUGGUGUAUCCUCAGACUGCUGUACCCUAUGCCUGCUCACAGGACAGACAAGAGCCUUUUAAGGGUGAAGACAGGACUAGACCCCAGCCUCCUGGUCACAUGACUCAGAGAUCUCCCAUAUCCUUUUACCUUCUGUUGCAUGGAGUGGAAUGGGUCGGAGUCUGAGAUGUGGAUCUUUGUGUUAGUCUGAGACUUUUUCUGUGUGGGAGAGAUUGUAUCCUACACACAGUCUAGAAGACAUUGGGGAGGCCCUGAAGCAAUUGCUAUUGCUAGAAAUAAAGUGUAGAGACAGAAGUGGGGAUGGGAUGGUGCUAGAGAGUUAGGCACAAGUCGAGUGAUGAGAGGUUGUGUCUGGUCUACACAGGAUCCUAAUAGAUCUUAACAGCCUGCAGCAAUGGUCUGAGCAUAAUGAGGCAAAACUGAACAGGAACAGAACAUGUUACACCCGAGUCCAAAAGAAAACUAACAAGAUGCACUGAUGUGACUUAGUAUCUUCAGGAUAAAAAUGACAGAAGCACUUCAGUAAUGUCAGCCAUAAUGUGUAAGGGAGUUAUUUUGAUCUCAGCCUGCAGGAGCAGAGAAUUUCAACGAGGUGAGAGGCAUGCUUUGCCAUGCACAGGCUAGACCACACUUGUCAUGCUGCAUGUAGUUCUGAAAAGGACAGACCAAAGUUUUAAAAGGAGAGAAGCCAGGAUGGGAUUGAAGAAUCCUCAGGUUGUAUAUUUAACAUUUUUAUCAGUCACUUAGGUCACGCCUGCUUAUCAAAUUUGUGGAUUACUCUAAUCUGACAGAGGUGGUAGAUACAGUGACAGGCAGAAUCAGUCAAAUAGAACAAUAAGCCAAUGCCAGGCUAUGAAAUUGAAAACAGAUCAAGGUAUCUCACCCCCAAAAAUGAUAAGUAUGUGAAGUAAUGCAUAUGUUAAUUAGCACUAUUUAGCCAUUUCAGAAAGCCUGCUUAUUUCAAACAACAUGCUGUACACAAUAAAUAUAUAUAAGAUCUGUGUCAACUAAAAAAUUAAAAUUAAAAUUAAAAGUCAAAGAAUAAAAAAGAAAAAAGUUUGGAAGAGCAAUCCAUUGUUCAAGAAAGGGAUGAGAGAGGCCUGGUACAAUGGCUGUUCUAACAAAUCAGCACUUUAGUGGGUAGCAGGGCUCAUCAAAGUACCAGUGUGUCUGUGUGUGUCCCAGGCUGGUGGAUGGUGGGCUUCCAAGGAGCCUCCAGGCAGCACUGAUAUUCAUGACUUCACCCAAGCCAGUGUUUUGACCUUGGCUUUGUGGGUUUAGAUUUUCAAAGUGUUUGAGUUUCCUGGACUUGGGGAGGCUGACUCUCGCUAACAAUGCUUUUAGGAGACUGCAGAUGCCAAAAGUAUUGAUUUUCAGCAUGAAUUCUACUUGUUAGGUACCUUAAACCUGAUCAGCAUACAUAUGGUUCUUCUUCCAUGUAAGAAAACCACAUGAGGAACAAAAUAACACCUCUAAGGAGUUUUGAGGAGGAUGGAACUGAAAAGAGGGAUGUGAGUAGUGUGACUCGAAUGCUGUUAGAAGAGUCUGAUGUGUCCUUCUUCCUCAGGUGAAAGUUCUCAGACUGAAAACAUCUAGAUAACCUCUAGCUAUGCUAAGCCACAGGCACUUUUAUAGGCCUAGAACCCAUUUCGUGUCUUUAAGGUGACUUGACAGAGUGUGGUUUUGUCCUCUUAUUUUUUUGACAUAUUCUGCAACUCAGGAAACAGUCUUGUUUCCCUUUCUCUGUAGCACUCGAGGUGCAUCAGUCUGCUCCUCCCUUUGCCUCAAGGUCCCACAGUGGCAAGGGGAGAGGAGACCAGUCUGGAGGGGUCUGCUUAUUAAGCCUUCAUUGCUGUCUACCCCAAGAAAACUCAGAGUCACUGUCUCCUAGGCACUUCUUAGGUAGAAAGAAAUCUUUCCUUACCCUCCAAAUCUGCUAUCCUUCAGGGAUGGAUUCUCGGGUACCUUCGACCAGCUCCCUGCUCUGUUCCAGCUUCCUGGGCAUAAAGGCAAAUAAUCCCAACGUGUUUGGCUUUGACUUUUUCUCAUGGCCUCCUUUCCCAGUGGGUGGCCAUAUAUAUUCAUUCGCAUGUCCAAGGGGAUUCCUCCUUCCAUCCCCCGUUUAUUGAUGUUCUUGUCACAUCUCCCUUAGGAGCUUGUUGUGUCAGUCAAGGUCCCAGCAAGAAACAGAUGGCACACUUACACUUGGAUAAUGUGAAAUGAAUCUAAUAAAGGACUACUUACAAAGCUGGGAGCAGGGCUUAGGGAAACCAUGAAGAAUAGUCAAAUGCCAGAGGACUAUGAAAUCUAGGUGCUAUUGUAGGCCUGAAAGAGUGGAGAGAGGGGAAAGAGAGCCAGAAGACUGUGGGGGCUAUGCGGAAGAAACAUAGGAUUCCCGGCUUUCAACAGAACUGGCCCAUGGAAACCCCACGGCAAUAGUAAUAAAUGCCACACCCUCACUCACUUCUCUCCUUCCAAUCUCCUGCUGAUUCACAACACUGGCCAUGUGCAGUUGGUAGCCAGUGGUCAAGGGAGCCCAAGAGUGUGGUUCAGGUUCAGCUUCCCCAGGGAAUAGCAGGGUGGACAAAGAUAGAGAGUGGAUUUGGAUAGGCAAAUAGAAUAAUCCAGUAAAAACACUGAAGGCUAGACUUUGUUGUUAAUACCUGUAUUUUUUGGUUUCCCAUCCCACACAUAGUAGGUUUGCAGCAGUUGACUUGGCCAUGGAUUUCUUUGGGUAAGGAGAUGAUCUUUGAUCCCUGUAUUCCAGGGCCUAUCCCAGUACCCCCAAAAGAUGCUCCAUAAAUGUUUAUGAAAUGACUAGUGAAUGAAUGAAUGAAUGAAUGAAUUAAUAAAUGAGGUAAGCUCAGUGGGAAUUUUCCCUUAAUUUUGCUCACUGUUUCACCCCUUGGAAGUAGCCACUUCUCUGCUUCACUUGUAGGCCAGUUGCAGUUAUUAAAUUUCUAAAUUAUCCUUCUGCCUAUGGGGCUGACUCUCCAAUGAGGUCUUGUAAAUCUUUGCUUCAAUCCUCGGAGUCCAGACAAGGAGCUCUUGCCUCAGGCACAGGCUCUGUUCUCUGGGAUGUCUCACCUUUUUAGCAGGGAAGCGUUCUGUGCCAGAUGCUUAACUUGUGUCCUCCUACCAGGGAGAUUCCACGAGGAACCUUCUCUGUUCACUUUAGGCAGAUUGGAUUGGCUUCUCCUUGCUGUACUUCUAGCUAGAUGAACUGUUAAACAAAUAUCUAUUACUUAUCUGUCAUAUUCUAGGCACUGUGCUAGGACAUGAGAAUGUUCAAGUGGGUAAGAUACAGUUUGACAUAAGGGACAAAGUGCUGCAGUCCAGAGGGAGAGAAGACAAAUAAUAAAUAAUUAUUUUACAGGGUAAUACAUGCUAUGUUAUUAUGUCAUUAUUCUAUAAUAAUUAUGGGAGCACAAUGGGUGAGGAGGGCACUGUGGGAGCCUGGGUGAGGAGCGCCAACCCACCCGGAUGCGCAAGGAAAGCUUUCUGGAGGAGUUAACACCUGAUCUUGUAGGAUAGGAAAGAGCAAGAUAUUAAAGAUAAGUAAUUCCAAGUCAAGUGGUGAGCAAGAUCAAAAUGACAAGACACUUGACAUAGCAUGAUGUGUGCAAGGAAACAUGAACUAAUCUGUAUUAUUAGUGAUAACAGUUGAGGAAUGGGGGGUGAGAGGCAGACGGAGGGGCAGGCAGGGGUUAGGGUGUGGAAGGCAUGGUAAGCUGAGCUAGGGACUUUGCAGGACAUUAACUAGAGUGAGGUGAAUAAGGCCUGUUUUAGGCACAAAAUGUAAAAGGGCUUCAAGGUCUCAGUCACUAGGAUAAGUAAUAUUAAAUGCAAUAUUUUAACUAAUCAAAAUUAAUGCAAAAACCCACAGUGAAAAAAAAAAUUUUAAGAUAAAUAGUAUUGAGUGAAUUCUUAUAAUUUCAUGUUGCUUCAGUAUCCAUUUUGAAUAUAACUUUAACUUUCUCAUACCAGAAGCAGGCUUAGUCACCCUUGGCGCAGUAUCCAGUUUUACAACUCCUCCUAGUUCCCUAAGGCGGUCAGUUCAGCUCUCUGGCUUAUAUAACUCCUGGUAGUUACCUCUCCAUGAGACAGCCAGAUACAACUGACCUAAUUAGCCCCACUGACCUCCACACCCCUCAUGGACUCUGCAGGUGUGCCACAGUGGCCACCUCUUAGUCACAGUGUGACCCCCAUGAAACUAGUGCCUGCUUGUACCACCAGUUAGACCUCCCCACAGGAAACCUGCUUGAGUAACUCCCAGGACCCAAUAAAGAAUUUGGCUUACAGGUCCCCUUAUCUCUCUCUUGCUCCCCACCUGCUGGCUGAAUGCACGUGUCCUCAGUGGCUUCCCCCUUUCCAGUGACCCUGGGAGGCAUACUUCCCCCUGCUCUCUGGAAUCUCUCAGCCACUUGGGUCUCCUUUGCCAAGGAGUGUCCUCCCUCUGGAACUCAAUACCAGCUCUUUCUUCUUCUGGAAUCUUCUCUCAGCUCUUUUAAGAUUGAAGAAAGAUGAUUACUUUCCUUGCCUGUGAAUAAGGUUCGUUUCUCUAGAAGAGCAGAAUGGAAGCACCUUCACCAUUCUAUACCAAUGGCAUUUCUGAGUGGACAAGCUGAAAUUCAGUAAUGUCUCCAAGCAUUGUGGCUCGCCUUUCAAAAUGAACUUCGAGGCUGCUAACCCUGCAUGACAUAGCCUACAGGACACUCCACUCCCUCCCUGUUCUCAUCAAACAAGAGAAGUUGCACAAGCUGGAGGGGCAGCUGGAUCACAGUUUAUGCUGCCCCCAGGAUGCAUCUUUCAUCCUAAUGGUGCUUAUUCAGCUGUGGGGAUGCAUUGGUAUCUAGCUGAUUUUUGAAAAAGUGCAAAAGUCCAUUUAAAAACACAACCAAAUCCUCCUUUUGAGAGUGGGGCCUUGUGUGGGGGUGGGGAGGAAAAGGAUGAGAAAUUUUUCCAUCUUAUUUUCUGAUAUUCUUUGCUUUGUAGGCGAAUACUUACAGAGAUGCCUGCAGGUGGUUUUCCAGAGUCCGUUUCUGAUCAAAGUCAAUAAAGCUCUUUCUCUAUGUGGGAAGGGAGCUCUCUUUUAGACUACUUUCUUACUUUGUGCUUUCUUAUGUAGAUAAGUCAUCUAAAAUCACACAGCCACAGGUCCUUAUCUGUCAGGGCCUGGUAGCAGCACUAGUGACAUUUUUUUCAUCCAAUAAACAUGAAUUAAGUUAUUUCUAUAGUGCCAGGCACUGAGACAGCUAUAAAUUGGGGAUAGAGGGAGUCAGAGGAAAAGCUGCCCUUUCUAUUUUUGUGUUCCUACUAUGUGCCAGGUACAGUAACUUUUGUGUAGUAGUGAGAAAAAGCAAUUUAAAAAUCAUUUCCAUUUUAUAGAAAUUUAGAAGUGGAAACUCUGAGAAGUGAAAUAAUUUGCCUAAGAUCAUUCAGGAAGGUAUUGAGUGUUUGAGCUGAGCUUUCCGAUAUUGGCCAGUAGAGAGAAGUGGAAUAAAGAAGAAAGGGCACCUUGGGAAGAAUUAUUGGUAUAAUAAAAGCAGGGGGUGGUGAUGGGGAGAUGGGAGGGCCAGAUCAGGUUCUGCAAAGAGUUUUGUGCAUUGUCGUUUGAACCGUAAUAAGAGAGAAGUUUGGAUUGGGAGGAAAGCUUGAUAACGUGAAGCAACGUUUGGAAUAUCAAGCUCUGCCAAUGAAAUUCAUUCUUAAACACCUGGAUUUAUUCCUGUCAA